Sarcophilus harrisii (Tasmanian devil) is the source of this 106-nucleotide small nuclear RNA. The record is from Ensembl. NCBI's taxonomy places the organism in Eukaryota, Metazoa, Chordata, Mammalia, Dasyuromorphia, Dasyuridae.
AUGCUCACUUCAGCAGCACACAUACUAAAUUGGAAUGAUACAGAGAAGAUUAGCAUAACCCCUGCACAAGGAUGACAUGCAAAUUCGUGAAGCAUUCCAUAUAUCA